RNAcentral lists this ribosomal RNA (225 nucleotides) under uncultured bacterium. RNAcentral describes it as "partial 16S ribosomal RNA". It matches the Rfam family "Bacterial small subunit ribosomal RNA", at positions 91 to 334 of the family's 1533-position model. The record is from RNAcentral.
CGUAGUGGCGCACGGGUGCGUAACGCGUGGAAUCUGCCCUUAGGUUCGGAAUAACAGUUAGAAAUGACUGCUAAUACCGGAUAAUGACGUAAGUCCAAAGAUUUAUCGCCUAGGGAUGAGCCCGCGUAGGAUUAGCUAGUUGGUGGGGUAAAAGCUCACCAAGGCGACGAUCCUUAGCUGGUCUGAGAGGAUGAUCAGCCACACUGGGACUGAGACGCGGCCCAG